AUUGAACGCUGGCGGCAGGCCUAACACAUGCAAGUCGAGCGAGCGGCGGACGGGUGAGUAAUGUAUGGGGAUCUGCCCGAUCGAGGGGGAUAACUACUGGAAAAGGUGGCUAAUACCGCAUACUAUCGUAUGAACCCAUACGGGAUUAGCUAGUGGGUGGGGUAAAGGCUCACCUAGGCGACGAUCGCUAGCUGGCCUGAGAGGAUGAUCGGCCACACUGGGACUGAGACACGGCCCAGACUCCUACGGGAGGCAGCAGUGGGGAAUAUUGCACAAUGGGCGCAAGCCUGAUAGAGCAAUGCCGCGUGUGUGAAGAAGGCCUUCGGGUUGUAAAGCACUUUCGUCGGGGAGGCGUUACCCACCGAAGAAGCACCGGCUAACUCCGUGCCAGCAGCCGCGGUAAUUC
Molecule: ribosomal RNA, 406 nt
Filed under: uncultured bacterium
Lineage: Bacteria
Description: partial 16S ribosomal RNA
Rfam family: Bacterial small subunit ribosomal RNA
Source: RNAcentral